Molecule: ribosomal RNA, 459 nt
Filed under: uncultured bacterium
Lineage: Bacteria
Description: partial 16S ribosomal RNA
Rfam family: Bacterial small subunit ribosomal RNA
Source: RNAcentral
CCUACGGGAGGCAGCAGUGAGGAAUAUUGGUCAAUGGGCGGGAGCCUGAACCAGCCAAGCCGCGUGAAGGAAGAAGGCGCCAGGCGUCGUAAACUUCUUUUGUCGGGGAACAAAGGGCGCCACGUGUGGCGUUGUGAGUGUACCCGAAGAAAAAGCAUCGGCUAACUCCGUGCCAGCAGCCGCGGUAAUACGGAGGAUGCGAGCGUUAUCCGGAUUUAUUGGGUUUAAUGGGUGCGUAGGGGGACCGGAAAGUCAGCGGGAAAAGCCCGGGGCUAAACCCCGGCGAGCCGUUGAAACUGUCGGACUAGAGAAGGCGAGAGGUAGGCGGAAUGCGUGGUGUAGCGGUGAAAUGCAUAGAUAUCACGCAGAACACCGAUUGCGAAGGCAGCAUACCGGCGCCCAACUGACGCUGAAGCACGAAAGCGUGGGUAUCGAACAGGAUUAGAUACCCUAGUAGUC